This 497-nucleotide ribosomal RNA is filed under the name uncultured bacterium. RNAcentral describes it as "partial 16S ribosomal RNA". It matches the Rfam family "Bacterial small subunit ribosomal RNA", at positions 28 to 507 of the family's 1533-position model. The record is from RNAcentral.
GAUGAACGCUGGCGGCGUGCCUAAUACAUGCAAGUCGAGCGAACGGACGAGAAGCUUGCUUCUCUGAUGUUAGCGGCGGACGGGUGAGUAACACGUGGAUAACCUACCUAUAAGACUGGGAUAACUUCGGGAAACCGUAGCUAAUACCGGAUAAUAUUUUGAACCGCAUGGUUCAAAAGUGAAAGACGGUCUUGCUGUCACUUAUAGAUGGAUCCGCGCUGCAUUAGCUAGUUGGUAAGGUAACGGCUUACCAAGGCAACGAUGCAUAGCCGACCUGAGAGGGUGAUCGGCCACACUGGAACUGAGAAACGGUCCAGACUCCUACGGGAGGCAGCAGUAGGGAAUCUUCCGCAAUGGGCGAAAGCCUGACGGAGCAACGCCGCGUGAGUGAUGAAGGUCUUCGGAUCGGAAAACUCUGUUAUUAGGGAAGAACAUAUGUGUAAGUAACUGUGCACAUCUUGACGGUACCUAAUCAGAAAGCCACGGCUAACUACGUG